RNAcentral lists this ribosomal RNA (305 nucleotides) under uncultured bacterium. RNAcentral describes it as "partial 16S ribosomal RNA". It matches the Rfam family "Bacterial small subunit ribosomal RNA", at positions 508 to 808 of the family's 1533-position model. The record is from RNAcentral.
ACAGCAGCCGCCGCGGUAAUACGUAGGUCCCGAGCGUUGUCCGGAUUUAUUGGGCGUAAAGCGAGCGCAGGCGGUUAGAUAAGUCUGAAGUUAAAGGCUGUGGCUUAACCAUAGUACGCUUCGGAAACUGUUUAACUUGAGUGCAAGAGGGGAGAGUGGAAUUCCAUGUGUAGCGGUGAAAUGCGUAGAUAUAUGGAGGAACACCGGUGGCGAAAGCGGCUCUCUGGCUUGUAACUGACGCUGAGGCUCGAAAGCGUGGGGAGCAAACAGGAUUAGAUACCCCUGUAGUCCCUGUCUCUUAUACC